GAUGAAGAACGUAGCGAAAUGCGAUAAGUAGUGUGAAUUGCAGAAUUCAGUGAAUCAUCAAAUCUUUGAACGCACAUUGCGCCCCAUGGUAUUCCGUGGGGCAUGCCUGUUCGAGCGUCAUUUACCCCCUCAAGCUCCGCUUGGUGUUGGGCGUCUGUCCCGCUUCGCGCGCGGACUCGCCCCAAAGGUAUUGGCAGCGGUCGUGCCAGCUUCUCGCGCAGCACAUUGCGCUUCUCGAGGCACCGGUGGGCCCGCGUCCAUCAAGCUCACCCCCCCAGUUUGACCUCGGAUCAGGUAGGGAUACCCGCUGAACUUAAGCAUAUCAAUAAGCGGAGGA
This 337-nucleotide unclassified non-coding RNA is filed under the name soil metagenome. RNAcentral describes it as "partial contains 5.8S ribosomal RNA, internal transcribed spacer 2, and large subunit ribosomal RNA". The stretch from base 1 to 120 matches the Rfam family "5.8S ribosomal RNA", at positions 35 to 154 of the family's 154-position model. The record is from RNAcentral.